CGGGGUCGGAACUUCGGUUCUGGCUUACGUGGCGCACGGGUGAGUAACACGUGGGAAUCUGCCCAUCUAUGGGGAAUAACUGCGGGAAACUGCAGCUAAUACCGCAUACGCCCUUCGGGGGAAAGGCUUCGGCCGUAGAUGGAUGAGCCCGCGUCCGAUUAGCUAGUUGGUGGGGUAAAAGCCUACCAAGGCGACGAUCGGUAGCUGGUCUGAGAGGAUGAUCAGCCACACUGGGACUGAGACACGGCCCAGACUCCUACGGGAGGCAGCAGUGGGGAAUAUUGGACAAUGGGCGAAAGCCUGAUCCAGCAAUGCCGCGUGAGUGAUGAAGGUCUUCGGAUUGUAAAGCUCUUUCGACGGGGAAGAUAAUGACGGUACCCGUAGAAGAAGCCCCGGCUAACUUCGUGCCAGCAGCCGCGGUAAUACGAAGGGGGCUAGCGUUGUUCGGAUUUACUGGGCGUAAAGCGUGCGUAGGCGGCUUGUCAAGUCAGAAGUGAAAGCCCGGGGCUCAACUCCGGAACUGCUUUUGAGACUGGCAGGCUUGAGUUCGGGAGAGGGUAGUGGAAUUCCCAGUGUAGAGGUGAAAUUCGUAGAUAUUGGGAAGAACACCGGUG
RNAcentral lists this ribosomal RNA (614 nucleotides) under uncultured bacterium. Its description in RNAcentral is "bacterial SSU rRNA". It matches the Rfam family "Bacterial small subunit ribosomal RNA", at positions 67 to 714 of the family's 1533-position model. The record is from RNAcentral.